This 477-nucleotide ribosomal RNA is filed under the name Fusarium equiseti. RNAcentral describes it as "eukaryotic LSU rRNA". The stretch from base 133 to 286 matches the Rfam family "5.8S ribosomal RNA". Lineage: Eukaryota; Fungi; Ascomycota; Sordariomycetes; Hypocreales; Nectriaceae. The record is from RNAcentral.
AAACCCCUGUGAACAUACCUAUACGUUGCCUCGGCGGAUCAGCCCGCGCCCCGUAAAAAGGGACGGCCCGCCCGAGGACCCCUAAACUCUGUUUUUAGUGGAACUUCUGAGUAAAACAAACAAAUAAAUCAAAACUUUCAACAACGGAUCUCUUGGUUCUGGCAUCGAUGAAGAACGCAGCAAAAUGCGAUAAGUAAUGUGAAUUGCAGAAUUCAGUGAAUCAUCGAAUCUUUGAACGCACAUUGCGCCCGCCAGUAUUCUGGCGGGCAUGCCUGUUCGAGCGUCAUUUCAACCCUCAAGCUCAGCUUGGUGUUGGGACUCGCGGUAACCCGCGUUCCCCAAAUCGAUUGGCGGUCACGUCGAGCUUCCAUAGCGUAGUAAUCAUACACCUCGUUACUGGUAAUCGUCGCGGCCACGCCGUAAAACCCCAACUUCUGAAUGUUGACCUCGGAUCAGGUAGGAAUACCCGCUGAACUU